UACGGAGGGUGCGAGCGUUAUCCGGAAUUAUUGGGCGUAAAGAGCUCGUAGGCGGUCUGUUGCGUCGGCUGUGAAAAUCCAGGGCUUAACCCUGGACCUGCAUCGGGUACGGGCAGACUAGAGUGCGGUAGGGGAGAUCGGAAUUCCUGGUGUAGCGGUGAAAUGCGCAGAUAUCAGGAGGAACACCGGUGGCGAAGGCGGAUCUCUGGGCCGUAACUGACGCUGAGGAGCGAAAGCAUGGGGAGCGAACAGG
This 253-nucleotide ribosomal RNA is filed under the name uncultured bacterium. Its description in RNAcentral is "partial 16S ribosomal RNA". It matches the Rfam family "Bacterial small subunit ribosomal RNA", at positions 524 to 776 of the family's 1533-position model. The record is from RNAcentral.